UGUUAAAUUUUUUUUCUUCUAUUUGUACUGUUAAAAAUUAGCAUAUGACUUAAAAAUCAAACAGUGGCACAUGAUGUGCCAUAUGCACGUCAUGUUAAUGUACAAAAAUCUUAUAACAGUAGAAAUAGACAAAAAAUUUAACA
RNAcentral lists this microRNA precursor (143 nucleotides) under Gossypium hirsutum (cotton). RNAcentral describes it as "MIR7502 microRNA precursor family". It matches the Rfam family "MIR7502 microRNA precursor family". The record is from Rfam by way of RNAcentral. Lineage: Eukaryota; Viridiplantae; Streptophyta; Magnoliopsida; Malvales; Malvaceae.